RNAcentral lists this ribosomal RNA (639 nucleotides) under Carabus lusitanicus rodriguezianus. Its description in RNAcentral is "eukaryotic LSU rRNA". It matches the Rfam family "Eukaryotic large subunit ribosomal RNA", at positions 672 to 1266 of the family's 3401-position model. Lineage: Eukaryota; Metazoa; Arthropoda; Insecta; Coleoptera; Carabidae. The record is from RNAcentral.
AGUCUAGCAUGUGCGCGAGUCAUUGGGACUCAAUAAACCUAAAGGCGCAAUGAAAGUGAAAGUCUGUUUACGCGGACUUAGGGAGGAUAGGUGCGUACACAUCUGUGUACAACCUCGCACUCCCGGGGCGUCUCGCACUCAUUGCGAGGUGGGGCGCACCAAGAGCGUACACGCUGGGACCCGAAAGAUGGUGAACUAUGCCUGGUCAGGACGAAGUCAGGGGAAACCCUGAUGGAGGUCCGUAGCGAUUCUGACGUGCAAAUCGAUCGUCGGAACUGGGCUUAGGGGCGAAAGACUAAUCGAACCAUCUAGUAGCUGGUUCCCACCGAAGUUUCCCUCAGGAUAGCUGGCACUAGAUUAUGGAUGAGUCUCAUCCGGUAAAGCGAAUGAUUAGAGGCAUUGGGGUCGAAACGGCCUCAACCUAUUCUCAAACUUUAAAUGGGUGAGAUCUCCGGCUUGCUCGAUUUGUGAAGCCGGAGAUCGGAUCAAUUAGUGCCAAGUGGGCCACUUUUGGUAAGCAGAACUGGCGCUGUGGGAUGAACCAAACGCAGAGUUAAAGCGCCAAAAUCGACGCUUAUGGGAUACCAUGAAAGGCGUUGGUAACUUAAGACAGCANGACGGUGGCCAUGGAAGUCGGAA